AUAAAAAUCGGCCCCCGUAUCACUACGAGGGCCUUUCAUGGGAGAGGAGAAACCGGACGAAGAGCUUAUGGGGAAACGUAAGUCUUCUCCGCGG
Molecule: regulatory RNA element, 94 nt
Organism: Paenibacillus sp. HGF7
Lineage: Bacteria; Bacillati; Bacillota; Bacilli; Caryophanales; Paenibacillaceae
Rfam family: ylbH leader
About the family: This family is a putative regulatory RNA structure that is found upstream of the ylbH gene in B. subtilis and related low GC Gram-positive bacteria.
Source: Rfam